This 253-nucleotide ribosomal RNA is filed under the name uncultured bacterium. RNAcentral describes it as "partial 16S ribosomal RNA". It matches the Rfam family "Bacterial small subunit ribosomal RNA", at positions 524 to 776 of the family's 1533-position model. The record is from RNAcentral.
GACGUAGGGCGCGAGCGUUGUCCGGAUUUAUUGGGCGUAAAGAGCUCGUAGGCGGCUUGUCGCGUCGUCCGUGAAAACUUGGGGCUCAACCCCAAGCUUGCGGUCGAUACGGGCAGGCUCGAGUUCGGUAGGGGAGACUGGAAUUCCUGGUGUAGCGGUGAAAUGCGCAGAUAUCAGGAGGAACACCGGUGGCGAAGGCGGGUCUCUAGUACGGUACUGACGCUGAGACGCGAAAGCUAGGGGAGCAAACAGG